Molecule: ribosomal RNA, 459 nt
Filed under: uncultured bacterium
Lineage: Bacteria
Description: partial 16S ribosomal RNA
Rfam family: Bacterial small subunit ribosomal RNA
Source: RNAcentral
CCUACGGGAGGCAGCAGUGAGGAAUAUUGGUCAAUGGACGAGAGUCUGAACCAGCCAAGUAGCGUGAAGGAUGACUGCCCUAUGGGUUGUAAACUUCUUUUAUAAAGGAAUAAAACGAGGCACGUGUGCCUUUUUGCAUGUACUUUAUGAAUAAGGAUCGGCUAACUCCGUGCCAGCAGCCGCGGUAAUACGGAGGAUGCGAGGGUUAUCCGGAUUGAUGGGGGUUAAAGGGGGCGUAGGCGGGCUGUUGAGGCAGCGGGAAAAGCCCGGGGGUCAACCCCGGCGAGCCGUUGAAACUGGCUGUCUUGAGAGGUCGAGAGGUAUGCGGAAUGCGCAGUGUAGCGGUGAAAUGCUUAGAUAUUGCGCAGAACUCCGAUUGCGAAGGCAGCAUACCGGCGGCGAUCUGACGCUGAGGCACGAAAGCGUGGGUAUCGAACAGGAUUAGAUACCCCUGUAGUC